This 73-nucleotide non-coding RNA is filed under the name Chlorobium phaeovibrioides DSM 265. RNAcentral describes it as "Chlorobi-RRM RNA". It matches the Rfam family "Chlorobi-RRM RNA". Lineage: Bacteria; Pseudomonadati; Chlorobiota; Chlorobiia; Chlorobiales; Chlorobiaceae. The record is from RNAcentral.
AAUUCAGCCAAUGGUUGGUUGAGAAGUGUGCGGGUAAUUGGUGCUAUGGUUAUCUGCAAGACUAUCUUUUUAU